UGCGUAGGUGGCCAUGUAAGCGCGGGGUGAAAGGCAAUAGCUUAACUAUUGUAAGCCUUGCGAACUGUGUGGCUUGAGUGCAGGAGAGGAAAGUGGAAUUCCUAGUGUAGCGGUGAAAUGCGUAGAUAUUAGGAGGAACACCAGUGGCGAAGGCGACUUUCUGGACUGUAACUGACACUGGGGCGCGAAAGCGUGGGGAGCAAACA
Molecule: ribosomal RNA, 206 nt
Filed under: uncultured Eubacteriales bacterium
Lineage: Bacteria; Bacillati; Bacillota; Clostridia; Eubacteriales
Description: uncultured Clostridiales bacterium partial 16S ribosomal RNA
Rfam family: Bacterial small subunit ribosomal RNA
Source: RNAcentral